RNAcentral lists this ribosomal RNA (234 nucleotides) under uncultured Lactobacillus sp. RNAcentral describes it as "partial 16S ribosomal RNA". It matches the Rfam family "Bacterial small subunit ribosomal RNA", at positions 129 to 355 of the family's 1533-position model. Lineage: Bacteria; Bacillati; Bacillota; Bacilli; Lactobacillales; Lactobacillaceae. The record is from RNAcentral.
CCCAAGAGAUCGGGAUAACACCUAGGAAACAGAUGCUAAUACCGGAUAACAACAGAUGAUGCCUAUCAACUGUUUAAAAGAUGGUUCUGCUAUCACUCUUGGAUGGACCUGCGGUGCAUUAGCUAGUUGGUAGGGUAACGGCCUACCAAGGCGAUGAUGCAUAGCCGAGUUGAGAGACUGAUCGGCCACAUUGGGACUGAGACACGGCCCAAACUCCUACGGGAGGCAGCAGCU